UUUGUCCUACGGGAGGCAGCAGUGAGGAAUAUUGGUCAAUGGGCGCUAGCCUGAACCAGCCAAGUAGCGUGAAGGAUGACUGCCCUAUGGGUUGUAAACUUCUUUUAUAUGGGAAUAAAGUGCAGUAUGUAUACUGCUUUGCAUGUACCUUAUGAAUAAGGAUCGGCUAACUCCGUGCCAGCAGCCGCGGUAAUACGGAGGAUCCGAGCGUUAUCCGGAUUUAUUGGGUUUAAAGGGAGCGUAGGCGGGUUGUUAAGUAAGUUGGGAAAGUUUGCGGCUCAACCGUAAAAUUGGAGUUGAAACGG
This 305-nucleotide ribosomal RNA is filed under the name uncultured bacterium. RNAcentral's name for it is "bacterial SSU rRNA". It matches the Rfam family "Bacterial small subunit ribosomal RNA", at positions 333 to 635 of the family's 1533-position model. The record is from RNAcentral.